RNAcentral lists this ribosomal RNA (102 nucleotides) under Roseburia sp. CAG:197_41_10. RNAcentral describes it as "partial 16S ribosomal RNA". It matches the Rfam family "Bacterial small subunit ribosomal RNA", at positions 1 to 93 of the family's 1533-position model. The record is from RNAcentral. Lineage: Bacteria; Bacillati; Bacillota; Clostridia; Lachnospirales; Lachnospiraceae.
UUAUAACAUGAGAGUUUGAUCCUGGCUCAGGAUGAACGCUGGCGGCGUGCUUAACACAUGCAAGUCGAACGAAGCACUCUAUUUGAUUUUCUUCGGAGAUGA